RNAcentral lists this unclassified non-coding RNA (100 nucleotides) under uncultured Glomus. RNAcentral describes it as "sequence contains ITS1". The record is from RNAcentral. Lineage: Eukaryota; Fungi; Glomeromycota; Glomeromycetes; Glomerales; Glomeraceae.
AUAAAUGUGAUUAGCAAGACCGUAAGGUCUUGCUAAACUUGUAUUUAAAACCUUCACUCUUGUAAAAACAAUAUAUUUUUUAUUAUAAAAAAUAAAAAGA